This is a small nucleolar RNA of Piliocolobus tephrosceles (Ugandan red Colobus), 100 nucleotides long. RefSeq annotates it as small nucleolar RNA U13. The record is from RefSeq and is a predicted model, not a curated record. The transcript has a single exon. Lineage: Eukaryota; Metazoa; Chordata; Mammalia; Primates; Cercopithecidae.
AUCUUUUGUAGUUCAUAAGUGUGAUGAUUGGAUGUUCACAAGCAUGUGUGAGACGGCCUCCCUCAAACCUUGUUAUGACAUUGGCAUAUCCAAAAUAAAA